ACUUGGUUUUAUAUGUGAAUAUUUUUGGCAGGAGAGAAAACUAGAAUGUACAUAAGCAUUUUUUUGAUUUUUAUGGUAGCAGCAAAGAACAUUGUAAUGUCACCUGAAUUCACCACCAGAAUGAGCAACAGAUUUGGAAUUACCAGUAUGGUUCAUGACAGCUUUUUGAAGAAACCUUUUUACAAGUUUUGUGAAGAAACCUUCAUAGGAAGCAGGCCACAUAUGAAGACCAGUGUUGUCUUGAGUGGGAGGAAUGUGUGAAUGUGUGUUUGGUAAACAAGAAUUUCAUAGUUCUCUUGGAAAUACCUGGAACAGAUCUAACUUCCACUAUUGGCCCAUCACAGACCACCAUGACACCCUCUUCAUCAAUAACUACUUCUUACAUAACUCUUGCAGUCUUCCAGAGGACAGUUGCUCCUAUGGGAAUAAAUGAAUUAACAUUGCAUUUAUAAAAACA
RNAcentral lists this long non-coding RNA (457 nucleotides) under Manacus vitellinus (golden-collared manakin). RNAcentral's name for it is "lncRNA (ENSMVIG00005017773.1)". Lineage: Eukaryota; Metazoa; Chordata; Aves; Passeriformes; Pipridae. The record is from RNAcentral.